UGUCCUCAUCUCUCCUCUCGCGACCUAUAUUAAGAUUGUACGACCUGGAAGUGACGGGCAUACCAAAUGGAUCCAUGGAUGGAUGAAACUAUGAAGAAGACUCAUGUCAGCCGCCAAGCUACCCGAAAACUUCCAAAUCUUGCGUGGAUUUUUCAAUGAGUUGCACACCUCAAUUCGGUUGUUGCGGUUGACAGGAUUAAAGCCCAGUUUCAGCAACAUUUACUCCCAAAUCGACUGUUUAACAGAUAGUGAUCCUGACAUGGCAGAUCCUCUUCUUCAAUGGUAAAUGACUGAAAAAUAUUGUCCCAUCACCGCGGAAAAUGAGCUGUCCAUUGUGACCAUAAUCCAUGGAGAAAAAAUUUGGGCUAUAUAAGAGCUCAG
Molecule: non-coding RNA, 381 nt
Organism: Malus domestica (apple)
Lineage: Eukaryota; Viridiplantae; Streptophyta; Magnoliopsida; Rosales; Rosaceae
Source: RefSeq, a predicted model, not a curated record